RNAcentral lists this ribosomal RNA (253 nucleotides) under uncultured bacterium. RNAcentral describes it as "partial 16S ribosomal RNA". It matches the Rfam family "Bacterial small subunit ribosomal RNA", at positions 524 to 776 of the family's 1533-position model. The record is from RNAcentral.
UACGUAGGGGGCAAGCGUUGUCCGGAAUCAUUGGGCGUAAAGCGCGUGUAGGCGGCCAGAUAAGUCCGCUCUGAAAGCCCGGGGCUCAACCCCGGGAGGCGGAUGGAUACUGUUUGGCUCGAGUCCGGAAGAGGCGAGUGGAAUUCCCGGUGUAGCGGUGAAAUGCGCAGAUAUCGGGAGGAACACCAAUGGCGAAGGCAGCUCGCUGGGACGGUACUGACGCUGAGACGCGAAAGCGUGGGGAGCAAACAGG